RNA transcript from Populus euphratica (Euphrates poplar), 2321 nucleotides. It is a transcript of the gene named cytochrome P450 85A-like, with no coding region annotated. The transcript has 10 exons. Lineage: Eukaryota; Viridiplantae; Streptophyta; Magnoliopsida; Malpighiales; Salicaceae. The record is from RefSeq and is a predicted model, not a curated record.
AUGUCCAUAUUUUUAAAAAUGAAACUUCUGAUAAUACAGGCAUUCAUGCCUUGAUUCUUGAAGAACGGUGUUCCAAGUCUUUUUUUGAGUCAAGUAGUUGGCUCAGUUAAAAUAUUGUUGUCAUUUUAAUUUCCUGUGAAGGGUCUUUAUUACCUGUGGUAUUAGAGAGUAGGGUCCCUUACUAGUAGGGUGCAUGGUUUGGCCUGAGUGGCUAUUCUAUCUCUCUCUUUUCACAUGCUUAGUUCAAAGUCCUAUAUAUAUGUGUGUGCAUAUGCAUUCCUCUUGGCUAGCUCAAAUUGGAGCAUUUCCAUACCAUUAACAGCUCUUUGUGAAGAGGGGUUGGAGCUGUUUUUUCUUCUUUGAAACACCAAUGGCUGUUUUCUUCGUGGUUCUUGUGGUAGUUCUCUUUUUGUUCGGUAUCUCCUCUGCUUUGUUGAGGUGGAAUGAGGUGAGAUAUCGGAAGAAAGGGUUGCCUCCAGGCACCAUGGGAUGGCCAAUCUUUGGAGAGACCACUGAAUUUCUAAAGCAAGGCCCGAACUUCAUGAAAAAUCAGAGCGCAAGGUUUGGGAGUUUUUUCAAAUCCCAUAUUCUGGGGUGUCCUACCAUUGUUUCCAUGGAUCCAGAGCUCAACAGGUACAUACUACUGAACGAGGCAAAAGGCCUUGUUCCUGGUUACCCUCAGUCCAUGCUGGAUAUCUUAGGCAAUCGCAACAUUGCAGCAGUUCAUGGCUCCACUCACAAGUACAUGAGAGGGGCAUUAUUAUCCCUCAUUAGCCCCACCAUGAUCAGAGAAAAACUUUUGCCAACAAUUGAUGAGUUCAUGAGAACCCACCUCAGCGAUUGGGAUUCCAAAAUUAUUGACAUUCAACAAAUGACUAAAGAGAUGGCCCUUCUUUCUGCACUCAAACAAAUUGCUGGCAUUGAUUCUAGCUCAAUAUCUCAAGCAUUCAUGCCUGAGUUUUUCAAGCUGGUUUUAGGCACUUUGUCAUUGCCGAUUGACCUACCUGGCACUAAUUAUACGCGUGGAGUCCAGGCGAGAAAAAAUAUCAUAAGCAUGUUUAGGAAGGUAAUACGAGAGAGGAGGGAGUCAAGAUUAUCGCACCAGGACAUGCUUGGUAAACUGAUGAGAACUGAAGAAAAUAAAUACAAAUUAACAGAUGAAGAAAUAAUUGACCAGAUAAUCACAAUUCUGUACUCUGGCUACGAAACGGUUUCGACUACUUCAAUGAUGGCAGUCAAGUAUUUGCAUGAUCACCCAACAGUCCUUCAAGAGCUAAGAAAAGAGCAUUUGGCAGUAAGAGCAAAGAAAAGGCCUGAGGACCCAAUUGAUUUGAAUGAUCUUAAACCGAUGCGUUUUACUCGUGCCGUGAUUCUUGAGACGUCAAGAAUGGCGACGAUAGUAAAUGGGGUUUUGAGGAAGACUACUAGAGAAAUGGAACUGAAUGGAUUUGUGAUCCCAAAAGGAUGGAGGAUCUAUGUUUACACAAGAGAGAUGAACUAUGAUCCACAUAUAUAUCCUGACCCAUUAUCCUUCAACCCAUGGAGAUGGCUGGACACAAGUCUGGAGUCUCAAAACUAUCUCUUCAUUUUUGGAGGAGGUGCUAGGCAGUGUCCAGGGAAGGAGCUAGGAAUAGCUGAAAUCUCAACUUUCCUUCAUUAUUUCGUAACUCGAUACAGAUGGGAAGAGGUUGGAGGGGACAAACUAAUGAAAUUUCCAAGAGUUGAAGCACCAAAUGGGCUACACAUAAGGGUCUCAUCUCACUAACUAAUCAGUGACCUCUGGAUGUACAGAAAAGAAGAGGGAGAUAAUGAUGUUCUAACAGAAAGAUAUACAGCUUAUCAAGUAAUGCCACAGUAUCCAAGCCCGAGAAUUCCUUCAUCUUCCUGCAGAGUUUGCUAUCACAAUUUAACGAAAAUAAAAAUGGGAUUUAGAGAGAUGGGUCCUUGAGCCCUAUGCUGUUAAAGCCUAGCCCGAAAGACAGGAAACGGAAGAAAGACCAGACUCAAUGAAUGUUUGAACUUUGAACAUGUAAUUAAGUUAAGCCCUUGAAAUAGAAUGAUAGCUUCCUUUAUGCCCAAACACAUAGAUGCUCUUACAACUUGUUUGCACUUUCUUUUUUCAUUGGAAGACAUUAUAUAGACUUAGGCUCCGAACCUGAUGGAUACCCAUUAAAACCAAUCAGAAUGGGUUGAAUAUUCUGAGUAGUAUAUUCCGGGUAAAACUUGAACCAAAAAAAUCGGGUUUUCAACGGAUAGUCGAUACUACUUUACCCGAUUCAAAACCCAACUUAUACUUGAUCCGGAAUUUCUUUGUAUAAUAU